GAUGAACGCUGGCGGCGUGCCUAAUACAUGCAAGUCGAGCGAACAGAUGAGGAUCUUGCUCCUCUGACGUUAUCGGCGGACGGGUGAGUAACACUUGGAUAACCUACCUAUAAGACUGUGAUAACUUCGGGAAACCGGAGCUAAUACCGGAUAAUAUAUUGAACCGCAUGGUUCAAUAGUGAAAGACGGUUUUGCUGUCACUUAUAGAUGGAUCCGCGCCGCAUUAGCUAGUUGGUAAGGUAACGGCUUACCAAGGCAACGAUGCGUAGCCGACCUGAGAGGGUGAUCGGACACACUGGAACUGAGACACGGUCCAGACUCCUACGGGAGGCAGCAGUAGGGAAUCUUACGCAAUGGGCGAAAGCCUGACGGAGCAAAGCCGCGUGAGUGAUGAAGGUCUUCGGAUCGUAAAACUAUGUUAGUAGGGAAGAACAAAUGUGUAAGUAACUAUGAACGUAUUGACGGUACCUAAUCAGAAAGCCACGGCUAACUACGUG
This 497-nucleotide ribosomal RNA is filed under the name uncultured bacterium. RNAcentral's name for it is "partial 16S ribosomal RNA". It matches the Rfam family "Bacterial small subunit ribosomal RNA", at positions 28 to 507 of the family's 1533-position model. The record is from RNAcentral.